GAGUGGCGAACUGGUGAGUAACACGUGGGAAACCUGCCCAGAAGCGGGGGAUAACACCUGGAAACAGAUGCUAAUACCGCAUAACAACUUGGACCGCAUGGUCCGAGUUUGAAAGAUGGCUUCGGCUAUCACUUUUGGAUGGUCCCGCGGCGUAUUAGCUAGAUGGUGGGGUAACGGCUCACCAUGGCAAUGAUACGUAGCCGACCUGAGAGGGUAAUCGGCCACAUUGGGACUGAGACACGGCCCAAACUCCUACGGGAGGCAGCAGUAGGGAAUCUUCCACAAUGGACGAAAGUCUGAUGGAGCAACGCCGCGUGAGUGAAGAAGGGUUUCGGCUCGUAAAACUCUGUUGUUAAAGAAGAACAUAUCUGAGAGUAACUGUUCAGGUAUUGACGGUAUUUAACCAGAAAGCCACGGCUAACUACGUGCCAGCAGCCGCGGUAAUACGUAGGUGGCAAGCGUUGUCCGGAUUUAUUGGGCGUAAAGCGAGCGCAGGCGGUUUUUUAAGUCUGAUGUGAAAGCCUUCGGCUCAACCGAAGAAGUGCAUCGGAAAUUGGGAAACUUGAGUGCCGGAGGAGGACCAGUGGAACUCCAUGUGUAAGCGGUGAAAUGGGGAGGUUAUAUGGAAGAACACCAGUGGCGAAGCGGGCUGUCUGGUCUGUAACGGACGCUGAGGCUGGAAAGUUAUGGGUAGCAAACAGGAUUAGAUACCGUGGUAGUCCAUACCGUAAACGAUGAAUGCUAAGUGUUGGAGGGUUUCCGCCCUUCAGUGCUGCAGCUAACGCAUUAAGCAUUCCGCCUGGGGAGUACGGCCGCAAGGCUGAAACUCAAAGGAAUUGACGGGGGCCCGCACAAGCGGUGGAGCAUGUGGUUUAAUUCGAAGCUACGCGAAGAACCUUACCAGGUCUUGACAUACUAUGCAAAUCUAAGAGAUUAGACGUUCCCUUCGGGGACAUGGAUACAGGUGGUGCAUGGUUGUCGUCAGCUCGUGUCGUGAGAUGUUGGGUUAAGUCCCGCAACGAGCGCAACCCUUAUUAUCAGUUGCCAGCAUUAAGUUGGGCACUCUGGUGAGACUGCCGGUGACAAACCGGAGGAAGGUGGGGAUGACGUCAAAUCAUCAUGCCCCUUAUGACCUGGGCUACACACGUGCUACAAUGGAUGGUACAACGAGUUGCGAACUCGCGAGAGUAAGCUAAUCUCUUAAAGCCAUUCUCAGUUCGGAUUGUAGGCUGCAACUCGCCUACAUGAAGUCGGAAUCGCUAGUAAUCGCGGAUCAGCAUGCCGCGGUGAAUACGUUCCCGGGCCUUGUACACACCGCCCGUCACACCAUGAGAGUUUGUAACACCCAAAGUCGGUGGG
RNAcentral lists this ribosomal RNA (1359 nucleotides) under Lactiplantibacillus plantarum. RNAcentral describes it as "Lactobacillus plantarum 16S ribosomal RNA". It matches the Rfam family "Bacterial small subunit ribosomal RNA", at positions 93 to 1434 of the family's 1533-position model. Lineage: Bacteria; Bacillati; Bacillota; Bacilli; Lactobacillales; Lactobacillaceae. The record is from RNAcentral.